Nicrophorus vespilloides is the source of this 395-nucleotide long non-coding RNA. RefSeq lists it as uncharacterized. The transcript has 3 exons. NCBI's taxonomy places the organism in Eukaryota, Metazoa, Arthropoda, Insecta, Coleoptera, Silphidae. The record is from RefSeq and is a predicted model, not a curated record.
AUUCUGCACAGAGAAAUCCAUUAAUUUACCAGUUGUAACAAAUUACGGCAACAAAACGUAUUAUUUGGAUAUCAUCAAUAAAGUAAAUUGGUAUAAAGCGUACAGAAGUUGCAAAACAUACAAUAUGGAGUUAAUAAGUAUUGAUACUAAUGAAGAAUUAGAUUAUAUUGGUAAUUUUCUUUUAAAUUUCUCUCUUGAUUUGCGCACUACAUAUUUGUGGGCUUCUGGAAUGUCUUUGAAAAUGGAAGAAGAUUUUUUUUGGAUGAGCAAUGGUCGUAAAGUUAUAUCUAAUCGGUGGCACAAGGCUUCACGACUUAAUAAUACAGAAAGCUGCACAUAUUUAUUUUAUUAUCCAGAUAAAUAUGUACUUGACGACUUGGAUUGCAAUAAUAAAA